UCUCGGUGAUGAGCAGAUGAAGAUGACGAGUCCGAUUUGCUUUCCGUUCCAUUCAAUAAUGACGACAAAAAUGAGGCAUUUGUUUGAGAAAA
Dioscorea cayenensis subsp. rotundata (Guinea yam) is the source of this 92-nucleotide small nucleolar RNA. The record is from RefSeq and is a predicted model, not a curated record. Lineage: Eukaryota; Viridiplantae; Streptophyta; Magnoliopsida; Dioscoreales; Dioscoreaceae.